This 61-nucleotide transfer RNA is filed under the name Erinaceus europaeus (western European hedgehog). It matches the Rfam family "tRNA", at positions 6 to 65 of the family's 71-position model. From Rfam's summary of the family: Transfer RNA (tRNA) molecules are approximately 80 nucleotides in length. Their secondary structure includes four short double-helical elements and three loops (D, anti-codon, and T loops). Further hydrogen bonds mediate the characteristic L-shaped molecular structure. tRNAs have two regions of fundamental functional importance: the anti-codon, which is responsible for specific mRNA codon recognition, and the 3' end, to which the tRNAs corresponding amino acid is attached (by aminoacyl-tRNA synthetases). tRNAs cope with the degeneracy of the genetic code in two manners: having more than one tRNA (with a specific anti-codon) for a particular amino acid; and 'wobble' base-pairing, i.e. permitting non-standard base-pairing at the 3rd anti-codon position. Lineage: Eukaryota; Metazoa; Chordata; Mammalia; Eulipotyphla; Erinaceidae. The record is from Rfam by way of RNAcentral.
UGUGGCUCAAGUGGUAGAGCUCAUGUUUUGCAUGCAUGAGGCUCUGGGUUUAAUUCCAGCA